GAUGAACGCUGGCGGCGUGCCUAAUACAUGCAAGUCGAGCGAAUGGAUUAAGAGCUUGCUCUUAUGAAGUAAGCGGCGGACGGGUGAGUAACACGUGGGUAACCUGCCCAUAAGACUGGGAUAACUCCGGGAAACCGGGGCUAAUACCGGAUAACAUUUUGAACCGCAUGGUUCGAAAUUGAAAGGCGGCUUCGGCUGUCACUUAUGGAUGGACCCGCGUCGCAUUAGCUAGUUGGUGAGGUAACGGCUCACCAAGGCAACGAUGCGUAGCCGACCUGAGAGGGUGAUCGGCCACACUGGGACUGAGACACGGCCCAGACUCCUACGGGAGGCAGCAGUAGGGAAUCUUCCGCAAUGGACGAAAGUCUGACGGAGCAACGCCGCGUGAGUGAUGAAGGCUUUCGGGUCGUAAAACUCUGUUGUUAGGGAAGAACAAGUGCUAGUUGAAUAAGCUGGCACCUUGACGGUACCUAACCAGAAAGCCACGGCUAACUACGUGCCAGCCGCCGCAGUAA
This 515-nucleotide ribosomal RNA is filed under the name uncultured bacterium. Its description in RNAcentral is "partial 16S ribosomal RNA". It matches the Rfam family "Bacterial small subunit ribosomal RNA", at positions 28 to 523 of the family's 1533-position model. The record is from RNAcentral.